AGCUGCAGGGCCGGUGGGUCUCCCGUCCGUGCGGCGGGGGAGGCGUGUUACGGCGAAAGGAGGGAUUUUUGCGGAGAGGAAGGAGCGGGGAGUAACCCGCAGCUUCACAGGACUGGACGCCGGGAACCGUCAGCCUCCUCCCGUCUUUUCUUCUUUCUGGACCUGGCGGGACCUCUCGAUUGACAGUCGAGGGUCCGAACCGGCAGACAGACGCGCGGUGCGGGGACCGUAGACUACAAGGCGGGGGAGGCCAUGAUUCCUGCGGGCGGGCCGUGGAUCUGGGGCCUCGGCCGCCACCCAGACCCACGCCCAAUCCUUCGGCGCUUCUCGAAGCUCCCGCGGCAGUUUCGGUCUUUGGGGGCUGCCCCAGUUGAGAGCGCCUGCCGGAAGGGGCUGCCUCCCUGGAUGGGGGCAAAAUUCGCAUUUCUCCGCUAACUGUUCAAGGAGAAAAAGGAGAAAAUUUUUCUUUUUCAAUCACCCCUGUGGCAUGUGGAGGUUCCUGGGCCAGGGAUCGAAUCUGAGCUACAACUGCAGCAAUGCCAGAUCCUUAACCCCUGUGCCAGACCAGAAAUUAAACCUGUGCCCCAGAGCUCCAGAGACGCCAACGAUCCCAUUGUGCCACCGUGGGAACCCCAAGCACUUGCUUUUCUACGUUUGAGUAGCGGUAAAAGUCCCCUUCCGUCCAGGAACCUUCCCGGGAAUGACAAAUAACAGCAGGAAAGCACGGUUGUGCCACUUUGUAUUCUUGCAACAGUUCCACCUCAGAGAGCAAUGAAAGCUACAACUACAAUGUACGGAACAGGAACUCAGGACCGUACAUUGUGUUUCACAACUGUUGCUGCCUUUGGUCUCACACUUGAUUGUCUCCAGCUCAGGCUGAAUGAAUUAUGGACUCCCCAAAGUUGCAAAGGUAGUAUACAGCAUGAUUACAUUACAUGGUCAAAGCCAGGAACCCAGCAGUGCAUGGGUGGGGUGUGUGUGUGUGUCUGUGUGUGUGUGUGUGUGUGUGUGUGUAGAUUCGUAGCCACCAAUGCAGUCAAGAUGCAGAGCUAUCCUGUCUUACAAGGACCUCCAUCCUACUGUCCCUUUGCAGUCACUCCCCUCCCCACAUUCCUAACCCCCUUUGACCAUUAAUCUGUCACUACAAGGAUGUUAUAUCAAUGGAAACCUAUGUAUGUGACCUUUUGCAGCUGACUUUUCCCCUCAUCGCAGUGUUCCUGAGACCAUCCAAGCUGUUGCGUGUAUCAGUACAUCUUUCCUUGUCUUCCCUGACUCAUAGUCCAUGCUCAGGAUGUACCACAGUUUGUUCAAGCAAGAGGGACAUUUUGGCUUGCUCCCAAGUUUUUGUCUGUUACAAAUAAAGUUUCUGUGAACAACUGUG
Molecule: non-coding RNA, 1381 nt
Organism: Sus scrofa (pig)
Lineage: Eukaryota; Metazoa; Chordata; Mammalia; Artiodactyla; Suidae
Source: RefSeq, a predicted model, not a curated record